This 774-nucleotide ribosomal RNA is filed under the name Staphylococcus sp. N32. RNAcentral describes it as "bacterial SSU rRNA". It matches the Rfam family "Bacterial small subunit ribosomal RNA", at positions 45 to 802 of the family's 1533-position model. Lineage: Bacteria; Bacillati; Bacillota; Bacilli; Caryophanales; Staphylococcaceae. The record is from RNAcentral.
UGCCUAAUAAUGCAAGUCGAGCGAACAGACGAGGAGCUUGCUCCUCUGANGUUAGCGGCGGACGGGUGAGUAACACGUGGAUAACCUACCUAUAAGACUGGGAUAACUUCGGGAAACCGGAGCUAAUACCGGAUAACAUGUUGAACCGCAUGGUUCAACAGUGAAAGACGGUNUUGCUGUCACUUAUAGAUGGAUCCGCGCCGCAUUAGCUAGUUGGUAAGGUAACGGCUUACCAAGGCAACGAUGCGUAGCCGACCUGAGAGGGUGAUCGGCCACACUGGAACUGAGACACGGUCCAGACUCCUACGGGAGGCAGCAGUAGGGAAUCUUCCGCAAUGGGCGAAAGCCUGACGGAGCAACGCCGCGUGAGUGAAGAAGGUCUUCGGAUCGUAAAACUCUGUUAUUAGGGAAGAACAAAUGUGUAAGUAACUAUGCACGUCUUGACGGUACCUAAUCAGAAAGCCACGGCUAACUACGUGCCAGCAGCCGCGGUAAUACGUAGGUGGCAAGCGUUAUCCGGAAUUAUUGGGCGUAAAGCGCGCGUAGGCGGUUUUUUAAGUCUGAUGUGAAAGCCCACGGCUCAACCGUGGAGGGUCAUUGGAAACUGGAAAACUUGAGUGCAGAAGAGGAAAGUGGAAUUCCAUGUGUAGCGGUGAAAUGCGCAGAGAUAUGGAGGAACACCAGUGGCGAAGGCGACUUUCUGGUCUGUAACUGACGCUGAUGUGCGAAAGCGUGGGGAUCAAACAGGAUUAGAUACCCUGGUAGUCCACGCCG